Molecule: ribosomal RNA, 328 nt
Filed under: uncultured bacterium
Lineage: Bacteria
Description: bacterial SSU rRNA
Rfam family: Bacterial small subunit ribosomal RNA
Source: RNAcentral
GUGCCAGCAGCCGUGGUAAUACGUAGGUGGCAAGCGUUGUCCGGAAUUAUUGGGCGUAAAGCGCGCGCAGGUGGUUUCUUAAGUCUGAUGUGAAAUCCCACGGCUUAACCGUGGAGGGUCAUUGGAAACUGGGAGACUUGAGUGCAGAAGAGGAAAGUGGAAUUCCAAGUGUAGCGGUAAAAUGCGUAGAGAUUUGAAGGAACACCAGUGGCGAAGGAGACUUUCUGGUCUGCAACUGACGCUGAGGCGCGAAAGCAUGGGGAGCAAAAGGGAUUAGAAACCCGGGUAGUCCAUGCCGUAAACGAUGAGUGCUAAGUGUUAGGGGGUU